AUUGAACGCUGGCGGCAGGCUUAACACAUGCAAGUCGAGCGGGGUGAUGGUGCUUGCACUAUCACUUAUCGGCGGACGGGUGAGGAAUGCUUAGGAAUCUGCCUAUUAGUGGGGGACAACAUCUCGAAAGGGAUGCUAAUACCGCAUACGUCCUACGGGAGAAAGCAGGGGAGCACUUGUGACCUUGCGCUAAUAGAUGAGCCUAAGUCGGAUUAGCUAGUUGGUGGGGUAAAGGCCUACCAAGGCGACGAUCUGUAGCGGGUCUGAGAGGAUGAUCCGCCACACUGGGACUGAGACACGGCCCAGACUCCUACGGGAGGCAGCAGUGGGGAAUAUUGGACAAUGGGGGGAACCCUGAUCCAGCAACGCCGUGUGUGUGAAGAAGGCCUUCGGGUUGUAAAGCACUUUUAGUUGGGAAGAAAAGCUCAAGACUAAUACCCUUGAGUGAUGACGUUACCAACAGAAAAAGCACUGGCUAACUCUGUGCCAGCCGCCGCGGUAA
RNAcentral lists this ribosomal RNA (502 nucleotides) under uncultured bacterium. Its description in RNAcentral is "partial 16S ribosomal RNA". It matches the Rfam family "Bacterial small subunit ribosomal RNA", at positions 30 to 523 of the family's 1533-position model. The record is from RNAcentral.